AUGAACGCUGGCGGCGUGCCUAACACAUGCCAGUCGAACGAAGCACCUUACCUGAUUCUUCGGAUGAAAGUUUGGUGACUGAGUGGCGGACGGGUGAGUAACGCGUGGGUAACCUGCCCUGUACAGGGGGAUAACAGCUGGAAACGGCUGCUAAUACCGCAUAAGCGCACGAGGAGACAUCUCCUUGUGUGAAAAACUCCGGUGGUACAGGAUGGGCCCGCGUCUGAUUAGCUGGUUGGCAGGGUAACGGCCUACCAAGGCAACGAUCAGUAGCCGGUCUGAGAGGAUGAACGGCCACAUUGGAACUGAGACACGGUCCAAACUCCUACGGGAGGCAGCAGUGGGGAAUAUUGCACAAUGGAGGAAACCCUGAUGCAGCAACGCCGCGUGAGUGAAGAAGUAUUUCGGUAUGUAAAGCUCUAUCAGCAGGGAAGAUAAUGACGGUACCUGACGAAGAAGCUCCGGCUAAAUACGUG
This 476-nucleotide ribosomal RNA is filed under the name uncultured bacterium. Its description in RNAcentral is "partial 16S ribosomal RNA". It matches the Rfam family "Bacterial small subunit ribosomal RNA", at positions 29 to 507 of the family's 1533-position model. The record is from RNAcentral.